GGCUUGGAAUAAAGGCUAGGAAAGAGUUGGCCGCGAGUAUUCAGAGUUUUGACGCCCUGCACGCGGAAUAAGAACCAAAUUUGCGGCCUUGCAUGUGGAAUAAAGCCAAAUUUGCAUAACCCAUUCACCACCGACAUGAACUAAUCCAGGCUAAAGCUGGAGCUGGCUCUGCAACUCCCUCAACGGUGUGUCCUUUUUUUGGCCCGCAUAUGCCGCUGUGAAGUUUGCCAACGUGUUGGCAUUGUCAGAGUGUGCACUUUGCUUCUCAGGGGAAAGAGCUUCCAUUCUUUGCAUCUAAAGUCGCCUCGGCCGAACUGGGGCUAAGGAGGUUCUUCUCAUUGGCUUGCUGAAUGA
Eucalyptus grandis is the source of this 354-nucleotide long non-coding RNA. RefSeq lists it as uncharacterized. The record is from RefSeq and is a predicted model, not a curated record. Lineage: Eukaryota; Viridiplantae; Streptophyta; Magnoliopsida; Myrtales; Myrtaceae. The transcript is spliced from 4 exons.